Molecule: ribosomal RNA, 468 nt
Filed under: uncultured bacterium
Lineage: Bacteria
Description: partial 16S ribosomal RNA
Rfam family: Bacterial small subunit ribosomal RNA
Source: RNAcentral
GAUGAACGCUGGCGGCGUGCUUAAUACAUGCAAGUCGAACGGACGGGCCCUGCUCUUGCGUGGUUCUCGAUUGCCGAACGGGUGAGUAACACGUGAGUAACCUCCCCCUGACUUUGUGAUAACAUUACGAGACUGGGUCGCUUAUCGCAUAUGAUCUCCUGCUGCAUGUUGGGGGAUGGAGAGUUUCGGUGUUUGGGGCUGGACUCGCGGCUUAUCAGCUGGUUUGUGGGGUAGUUGCGUACCAAGGCUAUGACGGCUAGCCGGCAUGGGAGGGUUACCGGCCACAUUGGGACUGAGAUACGGCGCAGUCGCCUAUGGGAGGCAGCGGUGGGGAAUAUUGCGCAAUGGGGGGAAGCCUGAUGCAGCAACGCCGCGUUCGGGAUGACGGGUUUCGGGUUGUAAACCGAUUUGGAAUGUGACGAAGAGUGAGUGACGGUAAUGGGUAAAGAAGCACCGGCUAACUACGUG